GAUGAACGCUGGCGGCGUGCCUAAUACAUGCAAGUCGAGCGAACAGACGAGGAGCUUGCUCCUCUGACGUUAGCGGCGGACGGGUGAGUAACACGUGGAUAACCUACCUAUAAGACUGGGAUAACUUCGGGAAACCGGAGCUAAUACCGGAUAAUAUAUUGAACCGCAUGGUUCAAUAGUGAAAGACGGUUUUGCUGUCACUUAUAGAUGGAUCCGCGCCGCAUUAGCUAGUUGGUAAGGUAACGGCUUACCAAGGCAACGAUGCGUAGCCGACCUGAGAGGGUGAUCGGCCACACUGGAGCUGAGACACGGUCCAGACUCCUACGGGAGGCAGCAGUAGGGAAUCUUCCGCAAUGGGCGAAAGCCUGACGGAGCAACGCCGCGUGUGUGAUGAAGGUCUUCGGAUCGUAAAACUCUGUUAUUAGGGAAGAACAAAUGUGUAAGUAACUAUGCACGUCUUGACGGUACCUAAUCAGAAAGCCACGGCUAACUACGUG
This 497-nucleotide ribosomal RNA is filed under the name uncultured bacterium. Its description in RNAcentral is "partial 16S ribosomal RNA". It matches the Rfam family "Bacterial small subunit ribosomal RNA", at positions 28 to 507 of the family's 1533-position model. The record is from RNAcentral.